ACCCGCUGAACUUAAGCAUAUCAAUAAGCGGAGGAAAAGAAACCAACAGGGAUUGCCCCAGUAACGGCGAGUGAAGCGGCAAUAGCUCAAAUUUGAAAUCUGGCUCUUUCAGGGUCCGAGUUGUAAUUUGCAGAGGGCGCUUUGGCGUCGGCAGCAGCCUAAGUUCCUUGGAACAGGUCAUCAUAGAGGGUGAGAAUCCCGUAUGUGGCUGCUUGUCUUCGCCGUGUAAAGCCCCUUCGAUGAGUCGAGUUGUUUGGGAAUGCAGCUCUAAAUGGGAGGUAAAUUUCUUCUAAAGCUAAAUAUUGGCCAGAGACCGAUAGCGCACAAGUAGAGUGAUCGAAAGAUGAAAAGCACUUUGGAAAGAGAGUCAAAAAGCACGUGAAAUUGUUGAAAGGGAAGCGCUUGCAGCCAGACGUGCCCGUAGUUGCUCAUCGGGGGUUCUCCCCCGUGUACUCUUCUAUGGGCAGGCCAGCAUCAGUCCGGGCGGUUGGAGAAAGACCUGUGUCAUGUAGCUGUUUUCGGGCAGUGUUAUAGGGCAGGUGGAAUGCAACCAGCCUGGACUGAGGUCCGCGCAUCUGCUAGGAUGCUGGCGUAAUGGCUGUAAGCGGCCCGUCUUGAAACACGGACCAAGGAGUCUAACAUCUAUGCGAGUGUUUGGGUGUCAAGCCCGAGCGCGUAAUGAAAGUGAACGGAGGUGGGAACCUUUUAGGUGCACCAUCGACCGAUCCUGAUGUCUUCGGAUGGAUUUGAGUAAGAGCAUAGCUGUUGGGACCCGAAAGAUGGUGAACUAUGCCUGAAUAGGGUGAAGCCAGAGGAAACUCUGGUGGAGGCUCGCAGCGGUUCUGACGUGCAAAUCGAUCGUCAAA
Molecule: ribosomal RNA, 866 nt
Filed under: fungal sp. mh2202.6
Lineage: Eukaryota; Fungi
Description: eukaryotic LSU rRNA
Rfam family: Eukaryotic large subunit ribosomal RNA
Source: RNAcentral